CCUAAGCUAAAUGUUUUUGAUUGGAGAAGCUUUGAAGAACUUCACCUUCCUUUCUUAAUGUUUUUCUUUCAAAGCCAAACACGACCUACAGUUGUACAGUCUCCUGCAGUGCUUUGAUGUUGUCACUAGGCCAUCCUAGUCAUUUCACUGUGCUCAAAACUUUCCUUUGAGGGACGUCCCAUCAUCACCAGACUGCUGCGAGUGUUGAAGAAUGCAAUGGAAAGUUCCUGGGCGAACAUCUGGUGAAGACAUCCUAAGAACACAUUUGAAAUGGAGAAAGCAACUGAGCGGGCACUUGAUUGUUACUGGAAAUUGGUGGAAGCCUUGCAAUGACCACCCGUGGCCUCAGAUGCUGACUUAGCCCACUCUGUCCCAGGACUGUGGCUUUUCCAGCUUGAUAAGAACAGGAGGGCUCCUAUGCGACCUGCUCUAUGAGGACAUUAUUUGGCUUAUCACGACGUCUACAAGCAGCUUUUGUGGAAGGUGAAGAAAGAACCAUGAGCAGAGACCUCCAGAGACCCUCGUGAGAUGCUGUGAAUUCUGCUGUCAGUCUUGGCUGCGCAUUGGGAUAUAUAUGCUGUAUUCUUAAGCAACUAAGAGAUGCCUUUUGCCUAAAUGAACCAACAUCCAGCAACUGAUGGAAGCAGAGGCAGAGAACCACAGAGGAGUGUUGGCCUGAGCUCCAAAGUCCAGUCGAAGAGAAGGAGAAGUGAGAACAAAGAGGUCAAGACCAUGAUGGGGACGCUCACUGAAACACCUGACCUGAACUAAUAGGAGUCCAUCAACUCAGGUCUGACAGUGAGGGAACCAGUACAGGACCAAACUAGGCCCUCUGAAUGUGGGUGACAGUUGAAUGACUGAGGCAGACUGCAGGGCCACUGGCAGUGAGGCCAGGAUUUAUUCCUACUGCUUGUUCUGGCUUUUUGAAACACAUUCUCUCUGGAGGGAUACCUUGCUUAGCCUAGACAUAGUGGGAACGGUCUUGGUCUUGUCUGAAAGCAAUGUGCUAGACUUUGUUAACUCCCCAUGGGACGCCUUAUCCUCUCUGAGGAGUGGAUGGGGGAUAGAAUGGGGGAUGAGAAGAGGGAGA
Molecule: long non-coding RNA, 1090 nt
Organism: Myodes glareolus (Bank vole)
Lineage: Eukaryota; Metazoa; Chordata; Mammalia; Rodentia; Cricetidae
Source: RefSeq, a predicted model, not a curated record